This 460-nucleotide ribosomal RNA is filed under the name uncultured bacterium. Its description in RNAcentral is "partial 16S ribosomal RNA". It matches the Rfam family "Bacterial small subunit ribosomal RNA", at positions 338 to 795 of the family's 1533-position model. The record is from RNAcentral.
CCUACGGGUGGCAGCAGUGAGGAAUAUUGGUCAAUGGGCGCGAGCCUGAACCAGCCAAGUAGCGUGAAGGAUGACUGCCCUACGGGUUGUAAACUUCUUUUGUAAAGGAGUAAAGUGAGGCACGUGUGCCCUUUUGUAUGUACUUUAUGAAUAAGGAUCGGCUAACUCCGUGCCAGCAGCCGCGGUAAUACGGAGGAUGCGAGCGUUAUCCGGAUUUAUUGGGUUUAAAGGGAGCGUAGAUGGGUUGGUAAGUCAGUGGUGAAAGUUUGCGGCUCAACCGUAAAAUUGCAUUUGAUACUGGCAGUCUUGAGUACACUUGAGGUACGCGGAAUGCGUGGUGUAGCGGUGAAAUGCAUAGAUAUCACGAAGAACUCCGAUUGCGAAGGCAGCUUACUAACCUGCCACUGACAUUGAUGCUCGAAAGUGUGGGUAUCAAACAGGAUUAGAUACCCCUGUAGUC